UACGUAGGGGGCAAGCGUUGUCCGGAUUUAUUGGGCGUAAAGAGCGUGUAGGCGGCCAGGUAGGUCUGCUGUGAAAACUCGAGGCUUAACCUCGAGCUGUCGAGGGAAACCAUCUGGCUAGAGUCCGGAAGAGGAGAAUGGAAUUCCCGGUGUAGCGGUGAAAUGCGCAGAUAUCGGGAAGAACACCCGUGGCGAAGGCGGUUCUCUGGGACGGUACUGACGCUGAGACGCGAAAGCGUGGGGAGCGAACAGG
RNAcentral lists this ribosomal RNA (253 nucleotides) under uncultured bacterium. RNAcentral's name for it is "partial 16S ribosomal RNA". It matches the Rfam family "Bacterial small subunit ribosomal RNA", at positions 524 to 776 of the family's 1533-position model. The record is from RNAcentral.